This 71-nucleotide ribozyme is filed under the name unclassified sequences. RNAcentral's name for it is "pistol ribozyme". It matches the Rfam family "Pistol ribozyme". The record is from RNAcentral.
AGUCGUUGCACCGGCUUAAAAUAGGUUCUUAAGGUGCAAGCGUUGACCGCCAUUGCGGCGGUCAGGUGAAC